Helianthus annuus (common sunflower) is the source of this 1398-nucleotide long non-coding RNA. RefSeq lists it as uncharacterized. Lineage: Eukaryota; Viridiplantae; Streptophyta; Magnoliopsida; Asterales; Asteraceae. The record is from RefSeq and is a predicted model, not a curated record. The transcript has 6 exons.
CAGAUCUUUCUUUUCUUCAUCUAAUCUACACGCCUCUCUCUCCUUUUCUCUUGCUUUUUCCUCUUUUCACCUAAAUCUCAGGCUUUUUCCCUCUUUGUGUUGAACACCGAUGAUUUGAAGAAAUCCCAUUCGAUUUGCAACUUAUGAACACUGAUUUGAAGAAAUCCCCACCGAUUUGCAGGUUUGUUCUCGCACGUGGCACUUUCGGCACCGUCACCUCCUCUCAAAUUUCACUUUCGUUUUGGUUACAGCGGCAGUGACAAUUAGGGUGUUAAGAUCUAGGGUUCCGACAAAAACGGAGAUGGUUACCGCUAGAUUUCAUAUUCUGGUGGCGAUGACUAGAUUAUUGGUGAGGUUUGGUUGGAAGUCGCGACUGCAUGCUCAAUUUAGGAAAACAAGGGUUUGGUAAGUAGAGAUUCCGGAGAUAUAUGGCAUAAACAAGCUUUCUAUAACAACAAGGAGAUGUUGAUAAUUUAUGGGAGAUUGAGAAAUUGAGAUGAGGAUUGAUGAAAACUCACACAAUUGCUCAUGGGUUUAUCAUGUGCAAAGGUGUUAAUCAUUCAUAUCAUAUUUUGUUUCAGACACGUAUCUAAUUCAUCGUUUGUGUUCUUUAUUUUUAGGGGUUUCUAUAAUUUGUCAGAGCUACUAGACAUAAAUAUGGAUUCUGCCCAGUGACAACGUUUUAGGUUCAUGAAUAUUUUAGGCCUAAGGUAAUGUUGAAGUUGGGUGAUAUACAUAAAAACAAAUUUCAUACAAGAUAAAACAAGGGGAAGCUUUGUCUCUUGUGUCCUGCCUAAAAAGAGGCAGAAGUGAAUUAUCUCGGGCAACUUUUGCACCCGAAUCUCAUACAAUUGAUCGGGUUUGGAGGACAAACAACGGCUUUUAGUGUACGAAUUCAUGCCUUGUGGGAGCUUGGAAAGUCACUUAUUUAGGAGAGGAUCUUAUUUUCAACCAUUAUUGUGGAGUCUUUGGUUAAAGGUUGCUCUCUAGGAGCUGCUAAAGGACUUGCUUUUCUUCAUGGUGCGAAAGCAAAAGUGAUUUAUCGCGAUUGCAAGACUUCUAAUGUGUUGCUAGAUUCGGUAUGUUGUGUUGCUAUGAAAUUUUAUAGAAAAUUGCACAAAAUAAAGUGCAAAAUCUGAAGGCAACAGAGGUGGAUAUGGAAAUCUACGGCCGUGAUGCAAUAGGAUUCCGGCAGGUAUUUGGGUGACCAGAGUAUGACGUUCUAGCCUUUCCCAAUGAUAUAUAAGUUCUGUUCAGAUUUUACUUUAUUUGAAAUCUUGGGGCUUCCAUUUUAAGUUUUUCCUAAUUUUAUAAUUCUGGAGGAUACGUAACUUGCAUUUUGUAGGGUGGAUUUUGGAUUAGACUUUGUUUGGUUCAAAAACUGAAUUGUUUUGUUUU